This 984-nucleotide ribosomal RNA is filed under the name Leclercia barmai. RNAcentral describes it as "partial 23S ribosomal RNA". It matches the Rfam family "Bacterial large subunit ribosomal RNA", at positions 1271 to 2236 of the family's 2925-position model. Lineage: Bacteria; Pseudomonadati; Pseudomonadota; Gammaproteobacteria; Enterobacterales; Enterobacteriaceae. The record is from RNAcentral.
UGCUGGAGGUAUCAGAAGUGCGAAUGCUGACAUAAGUAACGAUAAAGCGGGUGAAAAGCCCGCUCGCCGGAAGACCAAGGGUUCCUGUCCAACGUUAAUCGGGGCAGGGUGAGUCGACCCCUAAGGCGAGGCCGAAAGGCGUAGUCGAUGGGAAACAGGUUAAUAUUCCUGUACUCGGUGUUACUGCGAAGGGGGGACGGAGAAGGCUAUGUUGGCCGGGCGACGGUUGUCCCGGUUUAAGCAUGUAGGCGGAGGUUCCAGGUAAAUCCGGUACCUUUUUAACGCUGAGGUGUGAUGACGAGGCACUACGGUGCUGAAGCAACAAAUGCCCUGCUUCCAGGAAAAGCCUCUAAGCAUCAGGUAACAUCAAAUCGUACCCCAAACCGACACAGGUGGUCAGGUAGAGAAUACCAAGGCGCUUGAGAGAACUCGGGUGAAGGAACUAGGCAAAAUGGUGCCGUAACUUCGGGAGAAGGCACGCUGAUAUGUAGGUGAAGCCCCUGCGGGUGGAGCUGAAAUCAGUCGAAGAUACCAGCUGGCUGCAACUGUUUAUUAAAAACACAGCACUGUGCAAACACGAAAGUGGACGUAUACGGUGUGACGCCUGCCCGGUGCCGGAAGGUUAAUUGAUGGGGUUAUCCGUAAGGAGAAGCUCUUGAUCGAAGCCCCGGUAAACGGCGGCCGUAACUAUAACGGUCCUAAGGUAGCGAAAUUCCUUGUCGGGUAAGUUCCGACCUGCACGAAUGGCGUAAUGAUGGCCAGGCUGUCUCCACCCGAGACUCAGUGAAAUUGAAAUCGCUGUGAAGAUGCAGUGUACCCGCGGCAAGACGGAAAGACCCCGUGAACCUUUACUAUAGCUUGACACUGAACACUGGUCCUUGAUGUGUAGGAUAGGUGGGAGGCUUUGAAGCGUGGACGCCAGUCUGCGUGGAGCCAUCCUUGAAAUACCACCCUUUAAUGGCUGGUGUUCUAACGUGGACCCGU